AUUUAAGUAGCUUAAAUUAGAGCAUAAUACUGAAGAUAUUAAGGUAAUAUUAGUUCUUAAAUA
This 63-nucleotide transfer RNA is filed under the name Tettigades sp. 1 PL2017. RNAcentral's name for it is "tRNA-Phe". The record is from RNAcentral. Lineage: Eukaryota; Metazoa; Arthropoda; Insecta; Hemiptera; Cicadidae.